Long non-coding RNA from Cynocephalus volans (Philippine flying lemur), 244 nucleotides. RefSeq lists it as uncharacterized. The transcript has 3 exons. The record is from RefSeq and is a predicted model, not a curated record. Lineage: Eukaryota; Metazoa; Chordata; Mammalia; Dermoptera; Cynocephalidae.
UGGAAAUUCUGGGUACCGCAGAAGCGCCAGCGCUGCUCCUUAGAUCCUGGGGUUGGAUUGUGUGUCCCUGAAGCUAUGCUGCCACAGUGCACUAUGAGUUUACAAGAGCAACAAAAGGUGAAUAAAUCUCUGGAGUUGGUGUCAUUUGAGGAUGUGGCUGUGGACUUCACCUGGGAGGAGUGGCAGGACCUGAAUGAUGCUCAGAGGACUUUGUACAGGGAUGUGAUGCUGGAGACCUAUAGCA